UUGAACGCUGGCGGCAGGCCUAACACAUGCAAGUCGAACGGUAACAGGAAGCAGCUUGCUGCUUCGCUGACGAGUGGCGGACGGGUGAGUAAUGUCUGGGAAACUGCCUGAUGGAGGGGGAUAACUACUGGAAACGGUAGCUAAUACCGCAUAACGUCGCAAGACCAAAGAGGGGGACCUUCGGGCCUCUUGCCAUCGGAUGUGCCCAGAUGGGAUUAGCUAGUAGGUGGGGUAACGGCUCACCUAGGCGACGAUCCCUAGCUGGUCUGAGAGGAUGACCAGCCACACUG
Molecule: ribosomal RNA, 290 nt
Filed under: Enterobacter sp. W2FG3
Lineage: Bacteria; Pseudomonadati; Pseudomonadota; Gammaproteobacteria; Enterobacterales; Enterobacteriaceae
Description: partial 16S rRNA
Rfam family: Bacterial small subunit ribosomal RNA
Source: RNAcentral